GACGAACGCUGGCGGCGUGCUUAACACAUGCAAGUCGAACGGAAAGGCCCUGCUUUUGUGGGGUGCUCGAGUGGCGAACGGGUGAGUAACACGUGAGUAACCUGCCCUUGACUUUGGGAUAAAUUCAGGAAACUGGGGCUAAUAUCGGAUAGGAGCUCCUGCUGCAUGGUGGGGGUUGGAAAGUUUCGGCGGUAGGGGAUGGACUCGCGGCUUACCAGCUUGUUGGUGGGGUAGGGGCUGACCAAGCCUUAGACGGAUAGCCGGCCUGGGAGGGUGGCCGGCCACCUGAGGACUGAGGUAGGGAGCAGACGCCAACAGGGGGCAACGGGGGGAAAUAUUACACAGUGAGCGGGAGCCUGUUACGACGGCCCCCCGUGCGGAAAGACCUCCUUCGGGUUAUGAACCGCUUUCGCCUGUGACGAAGCGGGAGUGACGGUAAUGAAUAAAGAAGCACCGGCUAACUACGUG
This 468-nucleotide ribosomal RNA is filed under the name uncultured bacterium. RNAcentral describes it as "partial 16S ribosomal RNA". It matches the Rfam family "Bacterial small subunit ribosomal RNA", at positions 28 to 507 of the family's 1533-position model. The record is from RNAcentral.